This is a long non-coding RNA of Carya illinoinensis, 520 nucleotides long. RefSeq lists it as uncharacterized. The transcript has 3 exons. The record is from RefSeq and is a predicted model, not a curated record. Lineage: Eukaryota; Viridiplantae; Streptophyta; Magnoliopsida; Fagales; Juglandaceae.
UUCACACCCAUUUCUUACAAACCUCUCUCUCUCUCUCUCUCUCUCUCUCUCUUCACUUAUUCCUCUUCACAAAAAAUAACCCAUGGUUUGAUCAUCCAUCCUCCUUUCCAACCUCAACCCCGCCUGCCUCCGGUCUCAGCCCGAUGAAGACGAAGAUGGAGACAAAGGCAGAGAAAUACCAUCCUCCAUCUGAAUGAGAAAUAGAGGGGAAGGAGAAUAUUACUCCGAUUGGCUCAAAGAUCACAGAUCACAUGCGACAAGCUGGGGAUGUUUGUUUCUCCCAAGUCUUCCGUGAGAAUGGUAGAUUUUUAGUUUGAGGAUUGGGUUUAACAGUUUGUUGUGAUUGUAUCCGAACAGCUUGUGGUUUAGCCUUUUAUCCGUGGUGGGAAGUAAUAUAGUAUGGGUGAGAGUUAUUAUGUGCUCUUGUUUUUACUAUGGUGGGAAGAUUAGCCGCUAAACGAUAAAAAAAAAUCCAUUCGUGUAACUAAUUUGGUUGCUUAUGGAAAAUCAUUGUUGCUAA